GGGUGCGAUCAUACCAGCACUAAUGCACCGGAUCCCAUCAGAACUCCGAAGUUGAGCGUGCUUGGGCGAGAGUAGUACUAGGAUGGGUGACCACCCUGGGAAGUCCUCGUGUUGCACCCC
Molecule: ribosomal RNA, 120 nt
Filed under: Erythranthe guttata (spotted monkey flower)
Lineage: Eukaryota; Viridiplantae; Streptophyta; Magnoliopsida; Lamiales; Phrymaceae
Source: RNAcentral